Long non-coding RNA from Mus musculus (house mouse), 7691 nucleotides. RefSeq annotates it as predicted gene, 51548. The transcript is spliced from 3 exons. Lineage: Eukaryota; Metazoa; Chordata; Mammalia; Rodentia; Muridae. The record is from RefSeq and is a predicted model, not a curated record.
UCUGAAAAGAAUGCAACCUUCAGGCUUUUAAAAGUUCAGCUUUGCUGAUAUGAUCUAGCAAGGAAAAGGCUACUGUGAUCUGUGAUGGCUUACCCCUGUCAUUCCAGCACUCAGAAAGCUGAGGCAGGAGGAUCUCAGGUUUGAGGCAAGCCUGGGAUGUUUAGUGAGACCCUGUCUCAAAACAACGAUAAUUACAACAGUAUUGAGACAGACAUCAUGUUUCAGGUCAGGAUUGAGUGGGUGGUCCUAUUUAGGUGAUAGAUGUUUGUCCUUUUGGGGUGUGAAUGUCGAAUUGUGAUGUCUUCAUGAUGCUGUGGUACCCAUGUGACAUGAUGUGUGAGAGAGAAGCUUUACAAUGUCUGGGUUGGUGUGUUGGUGUGUGUGUGUGUGUGUGUGUGUGUGUGUGUGUGUGUGUGUGUAGGAUACUGGACCUGGAAUGUAAGAUUUAUUUAGGUUAAAAAUGAAUUCUGAAACACCCAUAUUCUCUCUUUCUCACUCAUGGCUAUUUAUAGAGAGGCCACUGUCUGGAUUCUUCCAGAAGGCAGUAGGCUAAAAUGCUUAACAGGAAAGGAUGAAGACACUCUUGGAUGUCUCUACCUUCUAGACAGUUCCUUCUUGUAUAAGACUUGGGAAGUUCAUACCAAGAGCUAGUGAGCAGCCUGGGGAAUUUGAAUCGCAUGAUCAUUGUUCACUGUGGUGGGCAGAAAUUUCACUUUCUGUUUCACGUGUUCACUGGCUGAGACACUUGAAAUGAGGCCUGAGGUACCAUCAACACAUGGGCUACAGGGAACCGGCCUGCACUGGGUCCUAGAAGAUGAUGUAGAAGACUUUACUAAGGUCUUUUCCAUCUUUCAUUUUCAAGGUUCUAAACAUGUUGGCUGUCUAUAUGGCAUUGGAUUGCCUUUUCAGGCAUAUGGGUUGCUUUUGAAAGUACUCAGUAGAGAGAUUUGGCUUCUCGUCGCCAUAACUCCAUGAGCCACACUUGAGACUACCUGAGAGCUACACUUCCAUAUUUCUUUCCACUACCUUGUGGCAGAGUGGGAAGUUACACACUGCCUUGCGCUGUCUUUCAGAGCGCAGUAACUAAGCACCGUGGUCUCUAUGCCCUGGGACUCUUGCCGUCCUACCUGGUAACACACAAGGACUAGCAAAGGAGGCCUGGAAGGGUGGGCAUUAAGUGGUUCACUACUGUCUUUGGGUUUAGCGCUGAGCUUUUCCUGGAAGGGUCCACUUGCUUUCUUAGCAGAGACGGUAGGUAUGAAGGCCCCAGCCAGACAAGAAUCUAAGGUCGGGGGGAUAAGACUUCCCCUCAAUACUGCCUCCCUGGACCCGAUAGGAAGUCGCCGAUGUGCCUGGGAUGGUGUGAUCUCCUACUCCACAGCUGGCAAACCCAUUUGGGAAAGGACUGUUUUUGGGGAAGAAGACUGGCUGCUUCUUCUGUUGGUAAUUGUUCCCACUGGCUUUCAUCAUGUCCCGCUCCCAGGACGACACAAGGAAACAAUUACUGACAAUAAAAAGAGACAGGGCUAAGCUCGAGGAGAGGGGAAGGGUCCUGGGGAUUUCCAAGUUUUCUCUGCGCUCGGACACGGAGUGUUUCCCACCAUCCCCGGGUGUGGAAAUGAGAACGACGUCAGCUUUUCCGCCCAUAAAACAGGGAUCUUAAUUAUUGCUUGUUUCACAGAAAAUGCUAGAAGGAUGAAUUAGCUGAGACUUUUUUUUUUUUAAUAUAGCACUAUGGAAAGGAGCUCUAUGUUGUAACUGUGAAGGAUCUUUUGGGAUGGUAAAAGGUACCUAAAAAGCAUUUGAAACAGCUAGAAAAGAUCUUGUGAUUCUUGAUGUUCCAAGAUUAAUAUAAUGGAUCUUUCUCUGUCUCUCUCUCUCUCCCCCUCUCUUUGUCUCUUUGUCUCUCUGUCUCUCUCUAUUUCUCUCUCUCUCCCCCCUCCCUUCUCUCUUUGUGGUAUAUGGACAUGUUCAUAGUUUGUUUUUUUUUUUUUUGAGAUAGAGUCUCUCACUGAACCUCAACUGAAGAAAUAUUUCAAUCAGAUUGGCCUGUAGGCAACUUCCUCAGUGAAUGACAGACGUGGGAGGGCCCAGUCCACUAUGGCAGCGACAUCUAUGGGGAAAAUGGUCCUGCCCUGUAUAAAAAAGCAGGCUGAGCAAGCCAUGGGGAGCAAGCCAGUAAGCAGCACUCGUCCACGGCCUUGGCUUCAGUUCCUACCUCCAGGUUCCUGCUUUGUUUUCCUGCUCUGAUUACCUUCAUGAUGGCCUAUAAGAUUCAAGAUGAGAUAAACCCUUUCCUCCCCACCUUGCUUUUCAUCACGGUGCUGAUGACAGAGAUAGAAAGCAGCCCAGGACAAGGCCUCUAUCCUUUUGUUGCGUGUCAUCUCGUGUGGAAGAAUCGCUGGCCUGCAGGAGCAGGCCAGCUUCUUGGAGUUCUGUUUCCAGCCUGCCAUUCUCUAAAAGAGCCCUGUUCAUGGUUAGAAAGGUUCUCGCCUUCCUCCCAGCUGGCCCCUGGCUCUCCUCAGCCUUCGAGUCAGGCCCACCUCCUCCCCCAUCUCCUGCUAAAGCAGUUUCAUCAGGAUUCUGCAAGCUUCCUGUGUAACCCCCUCUCUUAAAAAAAUCUGAAAAUGAAACAAGACAUAUUUCUGAGGUUGUCAGCAGGUAGAUCCACUGGCUUGUGGUAAGUACUCUCUCUGGGAGGAGCGCUCGGUUCUGAUGUCUGUGUUGAAUGCUCUGUGGCUCCCCCUCGGCCGCCCCCCGUGUAUGCCUGUUCACUGGGCAGGGGUGGCGGUGAUAAUAUUGUUUCUAACAACCAGACUGAAGCGUAGCCUCAGGCUGUCUUGCAAAGCCCCCUCCAAACAGCGUCUAAUUAAUUUUUACCCUGCCAUUCCAAUGAGUCCCGGGAGUGUAUCGGCCCCACAACAAAACCCCCUCAUCUAGUGGUUUGGAGACAGCUUUGACGUAACACUUGGUGGGUCUUAGAUCUCCAAAAGAGAAACCACUGUAGAAAAAAAAAAUUAAGGAAUCUGUCUCCUUCUAGUCUCUCUACCCCACUUGAUAUUUGUUUUCCUUUGGCUUCCCUUCUUCUUUCCCCUCAGUGAUCAUUAAUCUGAUCUCUCCUGGACUCCCUUCUGCCUGUGGCACUUUCAGAGAGAACCCUGGAGCCACAUAUAUACAUAUAUAUAUAUAUAUAUAUGUGUGUGUGUGUGUGUGUGUGUGUGUGUGUGUGUGUAUGUAUGUGUGUGUGUGUACAUGUAUGUAUGUAUAUAUAUACAUGUAUGUAUGUAUAUAUAUAUACAUGUAUGUAUGUAUAUAUAUAUUUAUUUUAUUUUAUUUUUUUGCUGUAGGAGAAUCUCGUAUUCUCUAGAGUCUAGGGUUAGGUAAUUGCAUGGGGCUGCCCUGAGAACCUUACUAGGUUUAAAAAGACAGGAAAGAGAGCAGGCAGCUGGCCUGAUUGGCUUUCAUCUGCAGUGUGGCCAGGUAACACUGGAAGCAAGGGAGAGGCUUGUUGAAGAGGCCUCUUACCCGCCCAUCACAUCAAAGCUGCAGUACCCCAGUAUCCCCUCCCUUCCCCUGGAAGCGUUCACGGAGGAGGCUCAGUCUCACUGUCUGGCUGUCCAAGCCAAGCCCCUAGAGGCUGCCUAGGUUGCUUUCUUUCUCCCUCUUCAGGGAGUUGGAGUUGGGUCAGGGGCUUCCAACCUAGCGCUGGCCCACGCCUCUCUCUGCGGCUCCAGGCUUUUCCCUCCCAAAACUCACAUUUCCCUGCGCAGUCCCCAAAUACUGUCUAACCCUCCCCCCGACCCCUUUCAGCACCCACUGAAACCCCUUUUCAUCCACACAGGCUGCUUAUCUUUGGACCUUGGAAUGAAUUAAAAUUCACAAAAGCGACCCUUUAGCAAGGUAUUCAGAGAUGCUGCACUCUAAACCGGCAGUGGGCAGAGGCUUCCUCGGAUUUCAGGACCGAGAGAUUGAGUGACUGCUCUGUUCUCAAGGACCCCCGCCGAGGGGACUGAUCUCCUGCGAACCUCUUGGGUGCUAAUUUCACCAUCGCUGGGUGCCAAAGUCAUUCCCUUGGGACCACUUGACUUGGCACCUCCUGAGAAAUGGGGUCAUUGUUCCUAAUGAGCUGGAGCAGUCUGGCUCCUUGAAAUGAGUUAAUCACAGAAUUGCAGGCCUAGGAAAGAUGUCUUUGAUGGCUGGCUUCUCUGUACCCGGUCCAAAGAGUGAGAGCCAAUCCUAUUUUAGAAGACACCCAUGGAGUCACACACUCCAGUGACUAAUCGCUUUUAAUUGUCCUCUUUAACUUGAUCCUCAUGAACUGGUGAGAUUCCUGUUUGCACCUUCCUCAGGGAAGGGAAAAGGCAUUGCUUACCAAUCAGACCGUUUAUAUUCUCCUCCUCCUCUUCUUCCUCUUCUACUUCCUCCUCUUCCCUUUCUUCUACUACUUCUUCCUCUUCCUCCUCUUCCUCCUGUCUACUGGGGUUAUAGUGUGGCCUGCUGACUAAAAGGAGAGUCAGACAUAUCUGAGUAACUUGCCAACUAUGAGCUGCGUGGUGGUGGCACACGCCUUUAAUCCCAGCACUUGAGAGGCAGAGGCAGGCUUGUCUCUGUAAGUUCGAGGCCAACCCGGUUUACAGAGCAAGUUCCAGGACAGUCAGAGCUACACAGAAAAACCCUGAUUCUAACAAACAGAACAAAAAGGACUAAAAAAAACAAAGCAAAACAAAACCAAAAACCCAAAACAACAACAAAAAAAAUCAAAACAAUCAAACAACUUACUCUUCCUCCUUGAUCUACAAAUCAGAAGGUACCCUUUGUAAAGGAGUUCGAUGCAUGUGGGAUAGCCCCCUUCCCCUGGGUCUCACAUAGCUCAGGUUGAUCUUGAACUCAUUACUUAGCUGAGAAUGACCUUGAACUUCUGGUCCUCCUACCUGUAUCUCUGCUUCCCAAGUGAUGGGAUUAUAGGCACAUACUGCUAUGCUCUGGUUAUGUGGGGCUCUAGCCAAGGGGUUUGUGCUAGGUGAGUACUCUAUCAGCCUAGCUCAUCCCAGCUCGGUCCUUCUUCUUUAAUGUCAAGUGAUAUGUUUGUAAAGAACAGUGGGAACACUGUCCCAGGAGCCCAGAGAGACUUGGGCACUACACAUGGUGGCUAUAAACCAGUCCUUUCACCUUGGCUCAGCAAGUGAAAGAGAUUGAGUUCAAGCCUGAGUUCAUUCUAUAGGAGCCACUUGGUUGGAGGAGAGAACAGACUCCUGUAAGAUGUCCUCUGGUCUCUAGACAUAUAUAGUAUGGCAUAGAUACCAUUUUAACCUCUAUUUCUAGAAUACCCUGCCUUGAGGUAUGCCAUUGCAGUUAAUUAAAAAUAUAUAUACAUUUUUACUUACUGAUUUGUGUUUGUGUGUGUGUGUGUGAGUGAGAGUGUGAGUGUAUGUGAGUGUGUGUGUGUGUGUGUGUGUGUGUGAGAGAGAGAGAGAGAGAGUGUGUGUGUGUGUGUGUGUGUGUGUGUGUGUGUCUUAAGUUCGUGAGCAGAGGACAAGUUUUUCUGAAGCCUUAAUUUUUAAAGAACUCUUGAUGCUGAUCUAUGGUACUGAGAACAUAAGCACUACACAAUCUAGUUUGGUUUCUGUGUGUGAACGUGCACACACGUGUGCACACAUAUAUGCGUGUAGCUGCACGUAUGUAUGGAGGCUGGAGAAUGACCUCGGCUGCCAUUCCUCUGAAGCUAUCUAUCUUGUUUCUCUUCGGCCCAUUAGGAGAGCCUAUCUAGUCAGAGAGCUCCAGGAAUCAGCCUGUCUUUUAUCUCUUUCCAGGGCUGAGAUUCUAAACGUGCACCGCACUGCCACACCAAGCUUCUUACGAGUAGGUUCAGGGGAUUAAGCUCAGGUCCUCGUGCCUAUGGCAAGCGCUUUACCAGUGGAACCAUCCCCCUUCCCCUUCCCCCCUCCCCCUGAGUUUUGUUUCUUUAUGCUAGUGUUCAGUUAAUGGGGAUAGAGAGGGGAAGAAGAUGGCGAUAGAGACCAUGCUAUCACAGACUGGAAAGGGAUGGGUGACAGGAAAAGCAUGCUGGGUAAGGCAGUUAUGCAAAUGUCAAGAACAGAGCCAAGGAUGUCCCUUUCCCAUUGACUGUCUUUGUAGAGCUCCCUCAUUGCUUCGUAUAUACUAGGUACUCAAUAAAUCAAUGGAACAGCAACAAGGAGAAUCCAUCUGAUAGCACAGGCUUUGAAAUGAAUGUCCGACACAGAAGCGGAUUUCAAAUGGGCUAUGAUCUUGGCAUCUUCCACCAUGAUCACUUCUUUCCCCGGGAAUUCCCUUCCCACCUCCAGCCCCUUUUGUAGUUUAAAUGCCGUUUACAGAUCUUCAUUGGCUGUAAGCUUCAGAAACCCUACCCCAAGUGAAGUAGCUAGAGCUUCCAGCUUGAGGUGGCGUAGUGGGUAUGGGGAGAACCAUCCUUACGUCUGCACUAUGAGUGACUAGGCGGAAUUGUAGCCCAGUGGGGUCGGAGGCCACUGUGCACCCAGGUCUCCACACUCUCCCAACCUAACCUGAGGCUGUGACUGAGGCUGAUGACGUCUUAUUAGUAGAUGACAGAUAGCUGCUAAACUUUCUUCUAUGGAGAAUAAUUUCUGAAUAGGGGAUGGAAAGUACAGAGUUAAAAAAGAAAAGAAGAGGCACCCAUUUUAUAAUCCGUAUCUCAUAGGCACAUCAGCCCAGGAAGGCAAGUGUUAUCUUACUCCAAGGUAGAUGGUGAGUCUGAAUGCCAGGGAGUUUCGGGAUGAUUAUAUCCCAUGAUACAUCAGGCACGAAGCAAUGGCACCUAGCCCAACGUAAGGAAUGAACUUGUAUAGGUAUCCCUUAAGAUAUAACUGCUUGGAAUGAGUUUUGGAGAGCACUCCACCCCAUUAAUUCGGGUUGCAUUCCUGAAAUGGUCACAUGUCAUGAACCUUCAGCAACAUGCCUUGAAUAAACUGAGAGCCAAGGUCCAGAGAUGAUGGAGGGCUUUCAUAGGGCAAUGGAGCUGGGACACCGGUAUUAAUAUGGCGCCCCCUAGUGUUUUUGUGGUGGUAGCGUGACUUGGAAUCACACCAGCAUACUGGUCUAAAUAGGGCCUCCUCAUGGUCUUCUGAUUGAAGGAGAUCCUGCCUAUCACGACCGUUUACAUCUUUUAAACCGUCAUGUUAAACAAAAUUCUCUUCAACUUUAAUGCCUUUCCCCCCCUGUCCAGUAUCCAUUUCCAGCCUGUGCUGAGUAGAACCCAGUCUUCACAUUGUUUUCCCCUCAUUGUGUGUGGCCUCCUAAGUACUUCAAGGAUCAAGACAUACCGAUUCAUUAUUGUGACUGCGAUGUUAUAAGCAAUGGAUAAUGGCGUCAGUAGAUGAAUCGUUGGAGGAGGUACGAAGAUCACGAGUCCACUAGAGAGGGAACGCCAGCUACUCCCUUUUCGCAAAGGAUGAAAAAAAUUGGUGAAUCUCAUCGCUCCAACAAGUACCUUGGGAGGCCAUGGUGGGUGGAGAACACCACACUAGUGUGCAUGCUAAGACAGGGAGAGGAAUGGAUCUAACUCUAGGACAGCGUUACCAUGGUCUUGCUUAUAGUUUAAUGGAGCCAGUGAGGUGGUGCAGCAGACAAAGACACUUGUCGCCAAGCCUGAGGACCUGAAUUCUAUCCCUGAGACUCACGGUAUGCGAAGAGAU